GGUAAUACAGAGGGUGCAAGCGUUAAUCGGAAUUACUGGGCGUAAAGCGCGCGUAGGUGGUUUGUUAAGUUGGAUGUGAAAUCCCCGGGCUCAACCUGGGAACUGCAUUCAAAACUGACAAGCUAGAGUAUGGUAGAGGGUGGUGGAAUUUCCUGUGUAGCGGUGAAAUGCGUAGAUAUAGGAAGGAACACCAGUGGCGAAGGCGACCACCUGGACUGAUACUGACACUGAGGUGCGAAAGCGUGGGGAGCAAACAGG
This 258-nucleotide ribosomal RNA is filed under the name uncultured Pseudomonas sp. RNAcentral's name for it is "partial 16S ribosomal RNA". It matches the Rfam family "Bacterial small subunit ribosomal RNA", at positions 519 to 776 of the family's 1533-position model. The record is from RNAcentral. Lineage: Bacteria; Pseudomonadati; Pseudomonadota; Gammaproteobacteria; Pseudomonadales; Pseudomonadaceae.